AUGAUGCUCUUCUACGCCGUGACGCGCAAGCGCGGGGUGGAGCUGCCAGUCUCUGCCUUCAACUUCAUGCUCUCGUCCCUGCAGAAGAACAGGCUCCAUGGCAAGGUGAUCCACCUCUGGAAACACAUGGUGGAAAUGGAAGAAGCCAACAAUGUGGUGCCAAAUCACUUCACAUACACAGUUGUGAUCGGCUCAUUUGUGAAGGAGGGCCUGAAGGAGGCCAUGGAUGUUUUGGGGAAGAUGAGGACGUCCCGUCUUGUCCCGGAGGAGGCGAUGUAUAGCGGCCUGAUCAGCUUGAGUGCUAGGCAUGGCAGAAUGGAGCAGACAGUGGGGCUCUAUGAGGAGAUGAGAGCCCAUGGAAUUGUCCCCAGCAACUACACAUGUGCAUCCCUCCUGGGACUCUAUGACAAGAGUGAGGACUACUCGAAGGCGCUCUCGCUCUUCUUGGAGAUGGAGCAGAGCAGGGUUCUCAUUGAUGAGGUCAUCUAUGGUAUCCUGAUUAGGAUCUACGGUAAGAUCGGGCUCUAUGACGAUGCGCAGCGCACCUUCGAGGAAAUCGACAGUACGGGUCUUUUGAGUGAUGAGCAGACCUAUGUGGGAAUGGUUCAGGCAUUGCAGGUUUUGGGUUUGAUGAGGUCGAGGAAUGUGAAGCCGUUACUGUUCUCUUACGGCGCUCUUCUUCGAUGCCAUGUCGCAAUGGAGGACAUAGCUGCAACUGAAGAUGCCCUCAGAGGUCCUUGCAAAUAUGGCCUCCCUGAUGUGUUCUGCUGCAACGACCUACUGAGAUUAUAUGUCAAGCUGGGCCAGCUAGAGAUGGCAAGUGCGUUCAUUCUGAAGAUGAGAAAAGAAGAUGUCAUGCUUGAUGAGGGCCUCUGCAUGACUGUAAUGGAAGUUUGCUGCAAAAGCGGGAUGAUCGCGGAUGCCGAUAAGAUACUGAAAGAGAUGAAUAAUGGUGGAGUGACCAUGAAGAGUUUAACAAUGGUUUCUAUGAUUGAGGUGUAUGCUAGAAACAGAACCAGUGUCAUGCAGGAAAAAUAUAGUUCGUCGAAGGCGCUAGCCUGUCGGACCAACAGUUCGGCGCUGAGCGCGACGUUGAAGUCCUUGUUGGACACACCCGGGGGUGCAUCCAUCGCGUGCCAAUUGAUCAGAAAAUUGGCUAGGGAAGGGAGUACAUGUGAGGCAAAAUUCCUUCAUGAACAGCUGACUCAGUUGGGUGUCAGGCCUGAAGAUUCUGAAACAGCUACUCUGAUUGUCCAAUAUGGCCAGGAACAGAAGUUACAUCAAGCAGAGGAACUAGGGCCUGUCUACAAUGCCAUGGUCGAUGCAUUAUGCAAGUGCGGCAAAAUUGAGGAGGCGUAUCAUCUCUUUAUGAAAAUGGCUGAUCAAGGCCAUAGCAGAGAUGUUGUGACAAUUAGCAUACUUGUCAAUCACCUGACCAAACAUGGCAAUUUUUUUUCAACUGCUAACCCAUCCUUGUGCAGAAAAUUUCAGGAGGCAGAGAACAUUAUACAUGGCAGCUUCAAUGGUGACGUUGAGCUUGAUACCGUCGUGUACAAUACUUUUAUCAAGUCGAUGCUCGAGUCAGUUUUCUUGUUCAGUGUCUAUGGCCUAGGAGGAAAGCUGGAUAAGGCUGCUGAAAUGUUUACUUCUGCACAAGAACUAGGCUUACCGAUCGACGAGAAGAUAUACACAAACAUGCUUAACUUCUACGGAAAGGCUGGGACGCAUCAGGAUGCAUCUUUACUAUUCAAUAGAAUGAAGGAACUUGGUAUCAUGCCUGGAAAGACCAGUUUCAACUCCAUGAUCAAUGCCUAUGCCACUUCCAGGUUGCAUGAUAAAGCAGAGAUUGUUUUCCAAGAGAUGAAAUCACAAGGUCAAGUUCCUGACUCGAUGACAUACCUCGCAUGGAUCAGGGCAUACUCAGAAAGUAGAUGCUACUCCAAAGCUGAGGAAGCAAUCCAGAUGAUGCUGAGCAGCGGCAUAACCCCUUCAUGCCCCCAUUUCAGCCACCUCAUUUUAGCCUUUCUGAAGGAAGGCCAAAUAGAUGAAGCUCUGCUUCCAAAUGCAGGAGAUUGGUGUGGCUGUUGA
RNAcentral lists this ribosomal RNA (2088 nucleotides) under Triticum aestivum (bread wheat). RNAcentral's name for it is "partial small subunit ribosomal RNA". Lineage: Eukaryota; Viridiplantae; Streptophyta; Magnoliopsida; Poales; Poaceae. The record is from RNAcentral.